Molecule: ribosomal RNA, 419 nt
Filed under: Fusobacteriota bacterium
Lineage: Bacteria; Fusobacteriati; Fusobacteriota
Description: Fusobacteria bacterium partial 16S ribosomal RNA
Rfam family: Bacterial small subunit ribosomal RNA
Source: RNAcentral
UGGGGGAUAUUGCACAAUGGCGAAAGCCUGAUGCAGCGACGCCGCGUGGGGGAUGAAGGCCUUCGGGUUGUAAACUUCUUUUGCUCUGAACAAGGCAUGCCUUUGGGGUGUGUUGAGUGUAGGGGUUGAUUAGCGCCGGCUAACUACGUGCCAGCAGCCGCGGUAAUACGUAGGGCGCGAGCGUUGUCCGGAAUUAUUGGGCGUAAAGGGCUUGUAGGUGGCUGGUUGCGUCUGUCGUGAAAGCUCAUGGCUUAACUGUGGGUUUGCGGUGGGUACGGGCUGGCUUGAGUGCAGUAGGGGAGGCUGGAAUUCCUGGUGUAGCGGUGGAAUGCGCAGAUAUCAGGAGGAAUACCGGUGGCGAAGGCGGGUCUCUGGGCUGUUACUGACGCUGAGGAGCGAAAGCGUGGGGAGCGAACAGG